GUCCAGGGAUGAGAAUCGAACCCACAGUAUUCCGUUUACCGGGCAGAUGCCAUGUCCACUAGGCUACCCUGGA
RNAcentral lists this transfer RNA (73 nucleotides) under Cordylochernes scorpioides. RNAcentral describes it as "tRNA-Thr". The record is from RNAcentral. Lineage: Eukaryota; Metazoa; Arthropoda; Arachnida; Pseudoscorpiones; Chernetidae.